This 492-nucleotide ribosomal RNA is filed under the name uncultured bacterium. Its description in RNAcentral is "partial 16S ribosomal RNA". It matches the Rfam family "Bacterial small subunit ribosomal RNA", at positions 29 to 507 of the family's 1533-position model. The record is from RNAcentral.
AGUGAACGCUGGCGGUAGGCCUAACACAUGCAAGUCGAACGGCAGCACAGUAAGAGCUUGCUCUUACGGGUGGCGAGUGGCGGACGGGUGAGGAAUACAUCGGAAUCUACUUUUUCGUGGGGGAUAACGUAGGGAAACUUACGCUAAUACCGCAUACGACCUACGGGUGAAAGCAGGGGAUCUUCGGACCUUGCGCGAUUGAAUGAGCCGAUGUCGGAUUAGCUAGUUGGCGGGGUAAAGGCCCACCAAGGCGACGAUCCGUAGCUGGUCUGAGAGGAUGAUCAGCCACACUGGAACUGAGACACGGUCCAGACUCCUACGGGAGGCAGCAGUGGGGAAUAUUGGACAAUGGGCGCAAGCCUGAUCCAGCCACACCGCGUGGGUGAAGAAGGCCUUCGGGUUGUAAAGCCCUUUUGUUGGGAAAGAAAAGCAGCAGGUUAAUACCCCGCUGUUCUGACGGUACCCAAAGAAUAAGCACCGGCUAACUUCGCG